AAGGGCAUUUAAAUGGCUUCUCGCCUGUGUGGGUGCGCAGGUGGGCUUUCAGUUCAGGCUUUCGUGAGAAGCUCCGAAGGCAUGAAGGGCAUUGAUAUGGCUUCUCGCCUGUGUGGGUGCGCAGGUGGUCUUUCAGGUGGGUCGUUUGUGAGAAGGUCCGAGAGCAUGAAGGACACUGUAAUGGAUUCUCGCUUGUGUGGGUUCGCAGG
Molecule: long non-coding RNA, 209 nt
Organism: Dermacentor silvarum
Lineage: Eukaryota; Metazoa; Arthropoda; Arachnida; Ixodida; Ixodidae
Exons: 3
Source: RefSeq, a predicted model, not a curated record